Molecule: ribosomal RNA, 433 nt
Filed under: uncultured bacterium
Lineage: Bacteria
Description: partial 16S ribosomal RNA
Rfam family: Bacterial small subunit ribosomal RNA
Source: RNAcentral
AGCGAACGCUGGCGGCAGGCUUAACACAUGCAAGUCGAGCGGGCACUUCGGUGUCAGCGGCAGACGGGUGAGUAACACGUGGGAACGUACCCUUCGGUUCGGAAUAACGCUGGGAAACUAGCGCUAAUACCGGAUACGCCCUUUUGGGGAAAGGUUUACUGCCGAAGGAUCGGCCCGCGUCUGAUUAGCUAGUUGGUGGGGUAAUGGCCUACCAAGGCGACGAUCAGUAGCUGGUCUGAGAGGAUGAUCAGCCACACUGGGACUGAGACACGGCCCAGACUCCUACGGGAGGCAGCAGUGGGGAAUAGUGGACAAUGGGCGCAAGCCUGAUCCAGCCAUGCCGCGUGAGUGAUGAAGGCCUUAGGGUUGUAAAGCUCUUUUGUCCGGGACGAUAAUGACGGUACCGGAAGAAUAAGCCCCGGCUAACUUCGUG